RNAcentral lists this ribosomal RNA (391 nucleotides) under Aplanochytrium sp. RNAcentral describes it as "partial small subunit ribosomal RNA". It matches the Rfam family "Eukaryotic small subunit ribosomal RNA", at positions 582 to 975 of the family's 1831-position model. The record is from RNAcentral. Lineage: Eukaryota; Bigyra; Thraustochytrida; Thraustochytriidae.
AUUCCAGCUCCAAUAGCGUAUAUUAAAGUUGUUGCAGUUAAAAAGCUCGUAGUUGGAUUUCUGGUAGGAGCGACCGUGCCGAACUUGAUUGUUCGUGUAUUGUGUUGUCUUCAGCCAUCCUCGUGGAGAACUUUUCUAACAUUAACUUGUUGGAUUGGGACCCGCGUCGUUUACUGUGAAAAAAUUAGAGUGUUUAAAGCAGGCAUUAGCCUGAAUACAUUAGCAUGGAAUAAUAAGAUAGGACUUUGGUACUAUUUUGUUGGUUUGCAUACCAAAUUAAUGAUCAACAGGAACAGUUUGAGGAUAUUCGUAUGAACAUGUCAGAGGUGAAAUUCUUGGAUUUUGAUCAGACGAACUACUGCGAAAGCAUUUAUCGAGGAUGUUUUCAUCG